AAUAGCUAGUGGAUAGCUUGUUAUAAUACAGUUCAUGCCUUAGUUUUGAGUCCCUUGUGACUAUGAAAGGUACUAGCCCCACAUCUCUUUUUGUAGUGUUUAACACGGCCAUAUUCAUGUAUUGAAAUGCAGUUUUGUAUGUAAUCUUUUCUGUGUAGUGGAGCUGUUUUUAGUUAUUGAUGCUACAAAUGCAGUAAUGUAUCUAUUGCCUGUUUAAUAAAUUGUCUGUUGUCAUGUGCUAUGUUUUGUUCAUUUUUCGAUUAACAUGACGUCACAAUUUAGUAACUACUUGAUGGAUACUUUGCUGCUUAGUUCUUUUGCAGAUUUAUUAUUAUUAUUAUUAU
This 344-nucleotide unclassified non-coding RNA is filed under the name Hevea brasiliensis (rubber tree). Lineage: Eukaryota; Viridiplantae; Streptophyta; Magnoliopsida; Malpighiales; Euphorbiaceae. The record is from RNAcentral.